AGGACUGGCGCAUCCUGGACACCCAGCUCCAGUGGGCAGGGGUCCCACGCAGCUCUCCUCCUUCAGGUCAGGCUGCGGGCCCGAGGGGCUUUCCCUGGCCCUUCCUCCGGGCCUGGGGGGCUGCCUUGAAGCCUAGAUAUGGGGUCGGAGGCACAUACCCAGAAGUCGGGAGCCAACCAGGAGGCCCUGAGGUGAAAAGAGGCAGCAAUGGCCCCCUGGGAAAUGGCUUUGGAGGCCGCUGACUUCUUGGGAGAUGCUGAGCACCCGAGCACACCCACUGCCUGUCCUGAGGGCCUCCGCCUGCAAGCCUGGGACCCUCCGGCGUGGCCUCUGGCCUGGGGGCUCCUGCAGGCUGGAAGUCUCAAUAAAGGCAGUGCGCUUCCCUGUUUGCCUCUGUGUGCUGUGCGGGGGGGGAUCAC
Molecule: long non-coding RNA, 419 nt
Filed under: Capra hircus (goat)
Lineage: Eukaryota; Metazoa; Chordata; Mammalia; Artiodactyla; Bovidae
Description: lncRNA (ENSCHIG00000005049.1)
Source: RNAcentral